AAUUUUUGACAAUGGGGGCAACCCUGAUCCAGCCAUGCCGCGUGUGUGAAGAAGGUCUUCGGAUUGUAAAGCACUUUAAGUUGGGAGGAAGGGCUUUAGUCUAAUACCCGGAAGUGUUGACGUUACCAACAGAAUAAGCACCUGCUAACCUUGUGCCAGCAGCCGCGGUAAUACCGAGGGUGCAAGCGUUAAUCGGAAUUACUGGGCGUAACGCGCGCGUAGGUGGUUCAGUAAGAUGGGUGUGAAAACCCCGGGCUUAACCUGGGAACUGCUUUCAUAACUGCUGAGCUAGAGUACGGUAGAGGGUAGUGGAAUUUCCUGUGUAGCGGUGAAAUGCGUAGAUAUAGGAAGGAACACCAGUGGCGAAGGCGACUACCUGGACUGAUACUGACACUGAGGUGCGAAAGCGUGGGGAGCAAAC
This 421-nucleotide ribosomal RNA is filed under the name uncultured bacterium. RNAcentral's name for it is "partial 16S ribosomal RNA". It matches the Rfam family "Bacterial small subunit ribosomal RNA", at positions 360 to 773 of the family's 1533-position model. The record is from RNAcentral.